This is a non-coding RNA of Pangasius djambal, 74 nucleotides long. The record is from the annotation of a GenBank genome assembly. Lineage: Eukaryota; Metazoa; Chordata; Actinopteri; Siluriformes; Pangasiidae.
GGUACGGUGGCUUAGUGGUUAGCACAUUUGCAUGUUAGCACGUUUGGUUGGGGGUUCGAAUCCCGCCUCUGCCC